CCUACGGGAGGCAGCAGUGGGGAAUAUUGCGCAAUGGGCGAAAGCCUGACGCAGCGACGCCGCGUGAGGGAUGACGGUCUUCGGAUCGUUAACCUCUGUCAGCAGGGAAGAACGGUCACUGUGCUAAUCAGCAGUGAAUUGACGGUACCUGCAAAGGAAGCACCGGCUAACUCCGUGCCAGCAGCCGCGGUAAUACGGAGGGUGCGAGCGUUAAUCGGAAUUACUGGGCGUAAAGCGCUCGUAGGCGGUAUGUCAAGUCAAGGGUGAAAUCCCCGCGCUCAACGUGGGAACUGCCUUUGAUACUGGCAAACUGGAGUGUGGUAGAGGAUAGUGGAAUUCCAGGUGUAGGAGUGAAAUCCGUAGAUAUCUGGAGGAACAUCAGUGGCGAAGGCGACUAUCUGGCACAUAACUGACGCUGAGGAGCGAAAGCGUGGGUAGCAAACAGGAUUAGAUACCCGGGUAGUC
This 465-nucleotide ribosomal RNA is filed under the name uncultured bacterium. RNAcentral's name for it is "partial 16S ribosomal RNA". It matches the Rfam family "Bacterial small subunit ribosomal RNA", at positions 338 to 795 of the family's 1533-position model. The record is from RNAcentral.